GGCAAAGGGAAGAACUAUGAUCAACAGCUGU
Molecule: non-coding RNA, 31 nt
Filed under: Homo sapiens (human)
Lineage: Eukaryota; Metazoa; Chordata; Mammalia; Primates; Hominidae
Source: RNAcentral